UGAGGAAUAUUGGUCAAUGGGCGCAAGCCUGAACCAGCCAUGCCGCGUGCAGGAAGAAUGUCCUAUGGAUUGUAAACUGCUUUUAUUUGGGAAUAAACCUUCGAACGUGUUCGAAGCUGAAGGUACCAAAUGAAUAAGCACCGGCUAACUCCGUGCCAGCAGCCGCGGUAAUACGGAGGGUGCAAGCGUUAUCCGGAAUCAUUGGGUUUAAAGGGUCCGCAGGCGGGCAUAUAAGUCAGUGGUGAAAGCCUACAGCUCAACUGUAGAACUGCCAUUGAUACUGUAAGUCUUGAAUUCGGUCGAAGUGGGCGGAAUGUGUAGUGUAGCGGUGAAAUGCAUAGAUAUUACACAGAACACCGAUAGCGAAGGCAGCUCACUAGGCCUGGAUUGACGCUCAGGGACGAAAGCGUGGGGAUCAAACAGG
This 424-nucleotide ribosomal RNA is filed under the name uncultured bacterium. RNAcentral's name for it is "bacterial SSU rRNA". It matches the Rfam family "Bacterial small subunit ribosomal RNA", at positions 355 to 776 of the family's 1533-position model. The record is from RNAcentral.